RNAcentral lists this ribosomal RNA (91 nucleotides) under Acanthosepion pharaonis. The record is from RNAcentral. Lineage: Eukaryota; Metazoa; Mollusca; Cephalopoda; Sepiida; Sepiidae.
GCUGAAACACUGGUUCCAUAUGAUCACCAAAGUUAAGCAACAUCAAGCCUGAUCAGUACCUGGAUGGGUGACUGUUUUGGAAUACCAUGUG